This is an RNA transcript of Parus major (Great Tit), 1237 nucleotides long. It is a transcript of the gene named abhydrolase domain containing 12B, with no coding region annotated. The record is from RefSeq and is a predicted model, not a curated record. The transcript has 13 exons. Lineage: Eukaryota; Metazoa; Chordata; Aves; Passeriformes; Paridae.
CGUGGGCGUGGUCUGUCGGCGCUGUCGGGCGCGCAGCGAUGCGGCGUCGCGGCGGGGACGGCGACAGCGGCGACAGCGGCGACAUUGGGAGGGCGGAGGGCAGGUCCGGCGCGGCCCGGCAGGGACGGGCUCAGCACUCCUGGCUCCCAGGGCUGCGCACCCUCCUCCUGGCCCCGCUGCUCACCUACACCUCCUUGCCCUUCCUCAUCCGCCUCUUCCCCAGCGUGCUCACCAAAUUUGUCUACCUGAACUUCCUGGCCUUCCCCUUCUUCGUGGACUUUCGGCGGCCGGAGGUGCUGGUGACCAACACCAUCAACCUGCAGCUCAGCACAGAGCCGGGUGUCACAGUCGGUGUCUGGCACACGGUGCCGGGCAGCAGAGGGGCCGAGGCGCGGGGCAAGGACCAGCGCUGGUACGAGGAGGCUCUUGCUGAUGCUCACCCCGUGAUCAUCUACCUGCACGGCAAUGGGGGCACCAGGGCUGCGAGUCACCGUGUCCAGUUCUUGAAGACGAUGGGGGCUGCUGACUUUCACAUCCUGGCUCUCGACUACAGAGGCUAUGGGGACUCCACUGGACACCCCUCAGAGAGUGGCUUCACCACGGAUGUCCUGGCGCUCUAUGACUGGGCGAAAGCGCGGAGUGGGAACAGCAGCAUCCUCUUCUGGGGACAUUCCCUGGGGACAGGGAUUGCCACCAACGCAGCGAGGAAACUGCAGGAGGAGCGAGUCUGCCCUCAGGGGUCCAGGUUGAUGCCGUGGUGCUGGAGUCUCCCUACACCAACAUCCGAGACGCAGCUGCCAACAUCCCCAUCACCAAGAUCUACCGGCAGUUCCCGGGUUUCGAGUCCCUCAUCCUGGACUCCCUGGCUCGGGCAGGAAUGUUCUUCCGCAGUGAUGAGAAUGUGAAGGUGCUGGGCUGCCCCCUCCUCAUCCUGCACGCAGAAGAUGACGGAGUCCUGCCUCCAAAGCUGGGACGCAAGCUCUAUGAGACAGCACACAAAGCCUACAAGGACAAAUCCAAGGUGAAGUUCAUUACCUUUCCCGAAAAGCUGGGCUUGGGCCACGACUACAUCUCCUUCAACCCAGAGCUGCCUUCCCUGGUGAGAGACUUCUUAAACAUGAAGUGAUGCCAGUUGCUGCCUGCACUGAUCCCAUGCUCCCUCAAAUCCACUCCAGGACACCCCCUAUGGCACUGAACUUACUGCUGUAAGUAAUAAAAACUACUAAGAAACUUUUAA